Molecule: long non-coding RNA, 2212 nt
Filed under: Equus asinus (donkey)
Lineage: Eukaryota; Metazoa; Chordata; Mammalia; Perissodactyla; Equidae
Description: lncRNA (ENSEASG00005035313.1)
Source: RNAcentral
UGGAAAAUCUGACGGCUUUUCUCUUUUUCCUGAAAAUUAUGAUUGAGACUGUGAUAUCUGUCACUUUACUGUAUUACUGACUGUGUUCUCAGGUAUUUUAUUGGCUAGAAAGCUCUUGAAAGAUUGGUCAACAUUAUGGAUCACCAGCCUUUCCAGACCAGUGGCUCUGGGUCUGUCUUGCUGUCUAGUGUGAGAGUAGGGCUUUUCGGUGAGCUAACCAGGGAUUGUUCGUAAUGUACCUGACUUUUCUUGCAAUUGAAGUUCCACCAUCGUUAUAUUCAUAGUAACCUCCAUUGUUUUCAUGCCUUAGUAAUACGUGAGCUGCAGACAUGUCGCCCCACAUCAGAAUGUAAGUGUUCAUAGUAUAGUUCAUGCAUGUUUGAAUAGUUCUAAAUCUGCUGCUUCUUGCCAAAAAAGAAUACGUAGGUUUAAAUUGACAUUUAGAAAAAUUUCAGUGCUAGUGGCUGGCUGAAAACCUGCACGGUAACAUUUAGACUUUUUGGUAGAAAGUCUGUGUGUAAAUUUAGCAGUUUUGUUAGACGGCCAAAACAUUAUUUAACUCCAGUGAAGGUUAAGAGGAAACUUAGUCUUAUUUAAGUUAUAUUUAAGAUCUGUGAUAGGAACCAUAAAUACUGCCUGACAAAGCAGAAAUCACCAAGUUUCCUCAUUUGGACUACUACCAAGAAAUGUUAAAACACCAAAUAGAUAAUGGUAUUAUUUUGAGCAUUUGCUGUUUUCUUUUCUGAUGUAUGUGAUGUCUCAGAGUCAACAGUCUUUUAAAAUAAGAUCUGGGAUAUAUUUUGAGGCAAUAAAUUACUUAUCGUUAAUGGCAGGCUUGUUUAGAAACUAAGUUUCGAUCUGAAGGCUUUAGUCCAUGUUUUUUAUUUACUGUAUUUUUAAACCAUUUGAAGGAGUCCUUCACCUGUCUCAUGAAAACUAGAUCCUUUUGAAAUACCACUAUACGAAGGGGAAGAUGAAAUUUAGUGAACAAAAUUGAAAGGGUGCGCGUGGUUUUCACUAUGCCAAUUUCUCCCAUUUCUAAAAAAGUAAGUUUAAAGUCCUUUGGUGCGCUCGAUUUUCUAGGUCUUCAUGAUUAUGAUUUGGAGUAAAAUGUGCCUAAUUCUCUUGUUACACUCUGUUCUUAAAUCUGAAUGUCUUCUCAUUUAGUUCUUAAGAGAUGUCUCAGAAGUGUCUUCAUUUGUGAUAUACAGAAAUUUGUGAUAUACAGAGUUGCCUUAUAAAUCAAAGAACACCACACAUUUGGGCCUUGAUUUUUUUAUAGGGAAAAGUUUUUGUCAAAUGUUUUCUGAAGAUCCAAAUAAUUUAAGGCAUGCCUCUACCACUUAAAUAUUAUUUGUAAUAACCUGAAUCAUUGCUUUCUGCCAAGUAUUGUGUUAAACUGAAAUCUUCAUUUCAGUUUUGUCUGGAAAGGGCACUUGAGAGUUGGAAAGCAACCACAGCCAAAGAAGGCGGUGAGGGGGGAAACAGUCGUUCGUUUGUUUUACUCUUUGAAGUUGCAUUGGCGUGUGUUUUACACACUGAAGAUCCUCUGGUUAAUCUCGCAAGUGAGAUUGUUUAGGGAAAUCCUUACUCAGUUGGUAGCAGUGGUUGGUUUAAGUAAAAGGAAGUAAGAUUAUCUUACUACCGGAAAUAAUUAGAAGUAUUGAUUUAGAUUCAACAGAAAUCAUAUGCCCUAUAAUUUUUUGUAAGAGUGAAUGAAUUAGUCUUAACUUCCAAUAUAUACCCAAAUACUUGUAUGUAUGCUUUUGAUAAAAUGUAUUUUCAGCAUUAGUACACAUAUCCGGUUAUGCCUUAUUUAUGUGAAGAAUAAAGUUACCAAGUUAUGUUCUGUUAUGUUCUGAAACUCAGAUCACUAGUUGAGAAGCCCUCAAAUUGGUGCUUUCAUUAUAUAAUGAUACAUUUAGACAAAACCCCAAACCAAGCCGUUUGAAACAAUAUUCUCUCCAUUGCAAUGUGUAGCAAUGUUAUUUCUGUAUAUGUAAUGAGAAGGCUAAAUAUCAGUGUUAACUCUUAGUUUUUUGUUUGAAUCCAUGAAAUCAUGCUUGUAAAAGCUCAGUCAAACAUUUGUAACAAACUCCCUAAUAAAUCUAGAGAAAGUCACUCUGUUACCUUUUCAUUUCUUUUAGUUUUAUUUGAGGAAUCUAGCUGAGAAAGUUUACAUGUGUCUUUUUCAUUUGGAAAUCUGACUUAG